CCUACGGGAGGCAGCAGUAGGGAAUCUUCCGCAAUGGACGAAAGUCUGACGGGGCAGCGCCGCGUGAGCGAUGAAGGCCUUCGGGUCGUAAAGCUCUGUUGUCAGGGAAGAACAAGUACCGGAGUAACUGCCGGUACCUUGACGGUACCUGACCAGAAAGCCACGGCUAACUACGUGCCAGCAGCCGCGGUAAU
This 194-nucleotide ribosomal RNA is filed under the name uncultured Bacillus sp. Its description in RNAcentral is "partial 16S ribosomal RNA". It matches the Rfam family "Bacterial small subunit ribosomal RNA", at positions 338 to 524 of the family's 1533-position model. The record is from RNAcentral. Lineage: Bacteria; Bacillati; Bacillota; Bacilli; Caryophanales; Bacillaceae.